This 1000-nucleotide ribosomal RNA is filed under the name Lysinibacillus sphaericus. Its description in RNAcentral is "bacterial SSU rRNA". It matches the Rfam family "Bacterial small subunit ribosomal RNA", at positions 85 to 1070 of the family's 1533-position model. Lineage: Bacteria; Bacillati; Bacillota; Bacilli; Caryophanales; Bacillaceae. The record is from RNAcentral.
CUUUGACGUUUCGGCGGACGGGUGAGUAACACGUGGGCAACCUACCCUAUAGUUUGGGAUAACUCCGGGAAACCGGGGCUAAUACCGAAUAAUCUCUUUUGCUUCAUGGGGAAAGACUGAAAGACGGUUUCGGCUGUCGCUAUAGGAUGGGCCCGCGGCGCACUAUCUAGUUGGUGAGGUAACGGCUCACCAAGGCGACAAUACGUAUCCCACCUGAGAGGGUGAUCGGCCACACUGGGACUGAGACACGGCCCACACUCCUACGGGAGGCGGCAGUAGGGAAUCUUCCCCAAUGGGCGAAAGCCUGAUGGAGCACCGCCCCGUGAGUGAAAAAAGUUUUCGGAUCUUAAAACUCUGUUGUAAGGGAAAAACAAGUACAGUAGUAACUGGGUGUACCUUGACGGUACCUUAUUAAAAAGCCACGGCUAACUACAUGCCACCACCCGCGGUAAUACAUAUGUGGCAAGCGUUGUCCGGAAUUAUUGGGCGUAAAGCGCGCGCACGCGGUCCUUUAAGUCUGAUGUGAAAGCCCACGGCUCAACCGUGUAGGGUCAUUUGAAACUGGGGGACUUGAGUGCAAAAAAGGAAAAUGGAAUUCCCAGUGUAGCGGUGAAAUGCGUAAAGAUUUGGAGGAACACCAGUGGCGAAAGCGACUUUCUGGUCUGUAACUGACGCUGAGGCGCGAAAGCGUGGGGAGCAAACAGGAUUAGAUACCCUGGUAGUCCACGCCGUAAACGAUGAGUGCUAAGUGUUAAGGGGUUUCCGCCCCUUAGUGCUGCAGCUAACGCAUUAAGCACUCCGCCUGGGGAGUACAGUCGCAGACUGAAACUCAAGAAAUUGACCGGGGCCCGCACAAGCGGUGGAGCAUGUGGUUUAAUUCGAAGCAACGCGAAGAACCUUACAAGGUCUUGACAUCCGUUGACACUGUAGAAGAAUAUAGCUUCCCCUUCGGGAGCAAACGAUGACAGUGUGCAUGGUUGUCGUCCACCUCGUGUCCUGA